Molecule: long non-coding RNA, 471 nt
Organism: Drosophila erecta
Lineage: Eukaryota; Metazoa; Arthropoda; Insecta; Diptera; Drosophilidae
Exons: 3
Source: RefSeq, a predicted model, not a curated record
CGUCUUGCAGCAGUCAGCUUUUUUCUGUUGCUUACAUUGCUUGGAAAACUGGCGGGACAAAUCCAAUGGGAAGUGAAUUAGCAAAAAUUAAUGCGUAAUCGUCAUUGCUACUUUGGCCUUUAUAACCGUUGUUCAAAAACAAUGCAUUUUGUUUUAAAUAUUCAUCAAAGAUAACAUAAAGAUGCGAUGACGUUUUCUUCAGUAUUAUUUAAACUACAUAGGAAAGCGACAAAUUAUAAAUCGUUGAUAUGGAGAGCGAUUGCAUUAUUAUGCGAGUACAUACUCGUACAUACAUUUAUCGAAAUGUAUUAAAAUAUACAAGAAAUUGGAUGGAAUUUUAUCAUAACAUUUGCUUCAUUUAAAUCGAAUGAUGUCCAGUGAAAUAUUAUUUGCAUAUUCUUCAAAAUUCCAAAUUUCAACGAAGAAGAAAGCGUGUAAAACUCAAAGAGAAACCAGCAAAAAGAAACCAAA